UGACUCACACGGUCCGAACACAAACAGCCACACCAUCCACACACAACUCAUCCAUGCUUCGGUUUUUCACAUCUAACACCCAAAAAUUCGACAUGCAACCAACACACAAGCAUGCAAGAGAAGCUAGAGGACUUCCACUUGCCUCUAGACCGGUCGGUCGACGGCGUAGGGCGGCGAACACGGCGGACGAACGGCGGCUCCUCCUUGGCUCCGCC
This 215-nucleotide long non-coding RNA is filed under the name Eucalyptus grandis. Its description in RNAcentral is "long non-coding RNA (EGRA_LNC000234)". Lineage: Eukaryota; Viridiplantae; Streptophyta; Magnoliopsida; Myrtales; Myrtaceae. The record is from RNAcentral.